UACAGAGGUCCCAAGCGUUGUUCGGAUUCAUUGGGCGUAAAGGGUGCGUAGGUGGCGCCGUAAGUCAGGUGUGAAAUCUCGGGGCUUAACUCCGAAACUGCAUUUGAUACUGCGGUGCUUGAGGACUGGAGAGGAGACUGGAAUUUACGGUGUAGCAGUGAAAUGCGUAGAGAUCGUAAGGAAGACCAGUGGCGAAGGCGGGUCUCUGGACAGUUCCCGACACUGAGGCACGAAGGCCAGGGGAGCAAACGGG
This 253-nucleotide ribosomal RNA is filed under the name uncultured bacterium. Its description in RNAcentral is "partial 16S ribosomal RNA". It matches the Rfam family "Bacterial small subunit ribosomal RNA", at positions 524 to 776 of the family's 1533-position model. The record is from RNAcentral.